UACGAAGGGGGCUAGCGUUGUUCGGAAUUACUGGGCGUAAAGCGCGCGCAGGCGGUCCUUCAAGUCAGAGGUGAAAGCCCAGAGCUCAACUCUGGAAUGGCCUUUGAGACUAGAGGACUUGGGUACGGGAGAGGUGAGUGGAAUUCCGAGUGUAGAGGUGAAAUUCGUAGAUAUUCGGAAGAACACCAGUGGCGAAGGCGGCUCGCUGGCCCGUUACCGACGCUCAGGCGCGACAGCGUGGGGAGCAAACAGG
This 253-nucleotide ribosomal RNA is filed under the name uncultured bacterium. Its description in RNAcentral is "partial 16S ribosomal RNA". It matches the Rfam family "Bacterial small subunit ribosomal RNA", at positions 524 to 776 of the family's 1533-position model. The record is from RNAcentral.